GCUCAUUUCCAUACAGGGGCUGGGUCAGAUCUGUGCAGGGAUUUAAUAGGGAUCCUGAUAGGAGAUACAGUACCAUAGUAGCAGAGCCAUCCUGUACUGAACCAUGUCCUGGGCUGCCCUCCUCCUCUCUCUCACCUCUCUCUGCACAUAUUCGGCCGCCCAAGUCUCACUAACACAGCCGGUGUCUGAAUCAGUGAAGCCGGGGGAGACAGUGAGAAUCUCCUGCACACUCAGUGGUUACAGUAUCGGUGAUCGCUAUGUGUACUGGUUCCAGCAGAAAUCAGGGAAUCCCCCUAGAUACUUACUGUGGUUUGAUUCAGACUCAAGCAAACACCAUGGAGCUGGGGUGCCUGAUCGGUUUUCUGGAUCCAAAGAUUCCCCUAAUAAUGUUGGCUAUUUAACCAUUAGAGGAGCCUUACUAGAAGAUGAUGCAGAUUAUUACUGUGCUAUAUGGUAUUCUAGCUCGUUGCACAGUGGUGUAUUGCCGUGAGGAACUGAAACAAAAGUUCAGAUACAUUAGCAUUGGUGUAUUUACUUAAAAAAGGGCCAGGGGGCAGCAGGAAUUGUGGAAAUAUUCUGUUUAUCCUG
Molecule: non-coding RNA, 588 nt
Organism: Xenopus tropicalis (tropical clawed frog)
Lineage: Eukaryota; Metazoa; Chordata; Amphibia; Anura; Pipidae
Source: the annotation of a RefSeq genome assembly